Molecule: long non-coding RNA, 1324 nt
Filed under: Homo sapiens (human)
Lineage: Eukaryota; Metazoa; Chordata; Mammalia; Primates; Hominidae
Description: HSALNT0068475
Source: RNAcentral
AAUAAUAAUAAUAAUAAUAAAGACAGAAAAAAUGAGUUGGGGUCAGGGGAGAUGCAAGAUCUGCCUGAAGCGGGGUCGGGGCUUGGCCAUUUUCUGCGCCUGUCGCUUUAUGGCCUCUCCUCCUGCGGCCCAGGCCAGCGGCUCUCAGGGAGUGAGCGGAGGUGAUUGGCGGCUCACUCGGCCCUGCCAUUGAUGACUGCGGGGUUCUAAUCUCCAGGAAACACAAGGGGCUGCCGUGGCCAUUUAGGGGUUCGGCCUGGGUUCGUGUCUGCUGUCGCCCCGCGCGGCAGGUUAACCGCGUGUAAACGUUGCUAGGCGAGAAGAGUGCAUCGGCAGAGAAGGGGGUUCAGACUCAAUUCCGUGUCAGAAAAGCGCGGGGCUUUCCCAUUGCUCUGCCCCUGGAUUGCGAGAGAAAGAAAGGUGCCGGCAGUCUCAAGAGAAAGGAGUCAGAUAAAAGAAAUAAAAUGUCUGCCUGUUUCCCAGGGCGUUGUUUGUUCCCGCGGGAGGAAAGCCACGAGUUACAGGGGCAGUGAGAGGGAGACUUCUCUGAGUUAUUUUUUGUCUAGGACUUUACCGAUUUCCCGGCCCAGGGGUUCAGCGAGCAGGCAGGCCCUGGGGCUGAGCCUGUUAUCUCGCCGCCAGCUCUAACCUCGAGGCGUUUGUACCCCCGGCAUUUCUCUGCGCUGCCGCUGCAGCCGAGAAAGCCGGGCAGUAAUUCAUGCCUGGCAAGGGCAGGGCUGGCCCCAGCAGAUAAAGCUCGGGGACUGGCGCUCCGCUUCCAUCCUCUAGACUUCUCUCCCCUCCCCUCUCGCUCCAUCUCCCCUCAUUUUCAGGCAUCCUAAAGCACUCCCCGCCCCCAAGUAGAGGGCCUCUGCAUUUCGGAUCCUGAAGAUGGAUUAUCCUUCGUCUACUUUCUGGGCAACUAAACUGGUGGUGGGUUUAGCUGGUUUUUUUUUUCCCCCAAAAUUUUGCGGGGGUUGGGGGGAUGGAGGCAGGGAUGGUGGUGUUGCUAAGUAUACACCACUCCCGUGCAAAGAUUAAUUUUUAGAAGGACCCCGUCCUAAAGACGGUUAUCCCUAUCUGGGUAUUGCUGCACCGGUUGGAAGAGCCUGGAGGCUGACUUCUCACUUCGGCAUUUGUUGUCGCCUCCGUCGGGUUUUUGUUUAUGCUCCCUCCCUCUCUUUCCACUGCAUUUUGUGACCUCGGCCCAGGAAUCCCGCGUGCAUUUUUUAAAAAUGUGCAGCUCAGUGGGAUCCCCCGGCAAUUAGCGAGCCCCAAACAGUCCUCUUUAAUAGAAUGAAUGUGCUAUGAAAACCGAUUACCC